Non-coding RNA from Nicotiana attenuata, 90 nucleotides. Lineage: Eukaryota; Viridiplantae; Streptophyta; Magnoliopsida; Solanales; Solanaceae. The record is from Rfam.
UGGCUGUAGCUACAUGAAUUCAAUUUGGGAAGUUUACUGCCUGUUGUUGUUCUGAUGUCGAAGUAUCUGCUUAUCGAACUUCCUACAUUU